This is an RNA transcript of Balaenoptera acutorostrata (minke whale), 1557 nucleotides long. It is a transcript of the gene named N-terminal glutamine amidase 1, with no coding region annotated. The transcript is spliced from 7 exons. The record is from RefSeq and is a predicted model, not a curated record. Lineage: Eukaryota; Metazoa; Chordata; Mammalia; Artiodactyla; Balaenopteridae.
UGCGCGGGGAUCCUGCGCGCCUGCUCGCCCAGGCUCCGCCUACCCUGCCCUAGGCCCCACCACCCGGGGACGCCACCAGCGGCCUCGAGCUCCGCCCACUCCGUCCCCCGAACCCUCGUUGCGCGUAGUGCGCUGACGCCUUCGCCGAAGCCCGCCCGCGGGGCUGGUCCAGUCGGUCCGCCUCAGGCCUGUGCCGAGGCCCACCAUGGAAGGGGACGUCUCCGCCGCCGCAGCCGCCCACUACCAGCCGGCCAGCCCCCCGCGGGACGCCUGUGUCUACAACAGCUGCUACUGUGAAGAAAAUAUUUGGAAGCUCUGUGAAUACAUCAAAAACCACGACCAGUAUCCUUUAGAAGAGUGUUAUGCUGUCUUCAUAUCUAAUGAGAGGAAGAUGAUACCUAUCUGGAAACAGCAGGCAAGACCUGGAGAUGGACCUGUGAUCUGGGACUACCAUGUUGUCUUGCUUCAUGUUUCAAGUGGAGGACAGAGCUUCAUUUAUGAUCUUGACACUGUUCUGCCAUUUCCCUGCCCCUUUGAUACUUACGUGGAAGAUGCCUUUAAGUCUGAUGAGGACAUCCAUCCACAGUUCAGAAGGAAAUUUAGAGUGAUCCGCGCGGAUUCCUAUUUGAAGAACUUUGCUUCUGACCGAUCUCACAUGAAAGACUCCAGUGGGAACUGGAGAGAACCUCCUCCAUCAUAUCCCUGCAUUGAGACUGGAGGUAAUGAAUGCCUGCAGAUCGUAAUCAUCUUUAUUUACUUACAUUAAAAAGCCCUAGAAAAUGAAUACAGUUGUAUUUCAGAAGUUGAGGUUUCAUUUAGCCAUUUGUUAAAGAUUUUAGCUGACUUACAUGGAGUCUGGCAUCUACCCCAGAUUCCAAAAUGAACCUGAAUGACUUUAUCAGUAUGGAUCCUGAGGUAGGAUGGGGAGCCGUCUACUCACUGUCUGAAUUUGUUCAUCGGUUUGGCAGUCAGAACUACUGAAAUUGACCUCUGGAUGUAGUGCCAUGGAGAAAUUCUAGGACGUGAACAAUCCACCCCUUCAUCUGAGACAGGAAACAUUAUGGUACAUUUGGCUUGGAAUUAUGCUUUCCUCUUUUAAUUCAAUUGAGUUGAAGCAUAAGUGAACAAAAGAAUAAAUAGAAACAAUUUCUUUUUGGUAUGUGAGGUUGAAACUUGAUGUAGUUGCUCACAUAUUCCUACUGCUCAUUUGUUAAAAAAUGUGAAGACUUACGCCAGUAAUUGCUUUUGUUAUGAUAAAUGUGUGGACUUUGUGUCUGUUUUGGAUGGUUCAUGUCUCUCCAGCUAUACUGUAAGCUCCUUGAGGGCAGGGCUGUGGCCCAUUGCUCUGUGAAUCUCUAAUGCCCAUAAAAGGUGCCCAUAAAAUGUUUGCUAGUGACUGUGCUGUUGCCUGAAGAGGGCUGAUGUUGUGAGCUCAAUCAGCAAUAAGUAUUAGUCUUUCUGGACCAUUCAUUCUGUUCUUAGCAAAGAUCGCAGCCCUCUCAGGCUUAAGUGUUGUUUGGCCUAUUUAUAUAUGUUUUUAAAUAAAAUUGACCUAAA